This 100-nucleotide non-coding RNA is filed under the name uncultured Tissierella sp. RNAcentral's name for it is "SAM riboswitch (S box leader)". It matches the Rfam family "SAM riboswitch aptamer (S box leader)". From Rfam's summary of the family: The SAM riboswitch is found upstream of a number of genes which code for proteins involved in methionine or cysteine biosynthesis in Gram-positive bacteria. The SAM riboswitch acts at the level of transcription termination control. Lineage: Bacteria; Bacillati; Bacillota; Tissierellia; Tissierellales; Tissierellaceae. The record is from RNAcentral.
CCUUAUCAAGAGCGAUGGAGGGUAUGGGCCCGAUGAAAUCCGGCAACCAGUAUUUAUACAAGGUGCUAAAUCCCACAGAACUAUGUUCUGAGAGAUGAGG